AUUGAACGCUGGCGGCAUGCCUUACACAUGCAAGUCGAACGGCAGCACGGGGGGUACCCCUGGUGGCGAGUGGCGAACGGGUGAGUAAUAUAUCGGAACGUGUCCUGUAGCGGGGGAUAACCUAUCGAAAGAUGGACUAAUACCGCAUACGACCUACGGGUGAAAGCGGAGGACCGCAAGGCUUCGCACUAUAGGAGCGGCCGAUAUCGGAUUAGCUAGUUGGCGGGGUAACGGCCCACCAAGGCGACGAUCCGUAGCUGGUCUGAGAGGACGAUCAGCCACACUGGAACUGAGACACGGUCCAGACUCCUACGGGAGGCAGCAGUGGGGAAUUUUGGACAAUGGGCGCAAGCCUGAUCCAGCCAUGCCGCGUGAGUGAAGAAGGCCUUCGGGUUGUAAAGCUCUUUCGGCGGGGACGAAACGGUUCGUGCUAAUACCACGGACUACUGACGGUACCCGCAGAAGAAGCACCGGCUAACUACGUG
This 485-nucleotide ribosomal RNA is filed under the name uncultured bacterium. RNAcentral describes it as "partial 16S ribosomal RNA". It matches the Rfam family "Bacterial small subunit ribosomal RNA", at positions 29 to 507 of the family's 1533-position model. The record is from RNAcentral.